This 329-nucleotide ribosomal RNA is filed under the name uncultured bacterium. Its description in RNAcentral is "bacterial SSU rRNA". It matches the Rfam family "Bacterial small subunit ribosomal RNA", at positions 335 to 645 of the family's 1533-position model. The record is from RNAcentral.
ACUCCUACGGGAGGCAGCAGUGGGGGAAUAUUGCACAAUGGGGGAAACCCUGAUGCAGCCAUGCCGCGUGUGUGAAGAAGGCCUUCGGGUUGUAAAGACACUUUCAGUAGGGAGGAAGGUAGUGAGUUCAGUCAAUACUGGCCGCUCAUUUAGUCGUUAGCCUACAGAAGAAGCACCGGCUAACUCCGUGCCAGCAGCCGCGGUAAUACGGAGGGUGCGAGCGUUAAUCGGAAUUACUGGGCGUAAAGCGCAUGCAGGCGGCCUUGUUAAGUCAGAUGUGAAAGCCCGGGGCUUAACCUCGGAAUUGCAUUUGAAACUGGCGGACUAGA